This 497-nucleotide ribosomal RNA is filed under the name uncultured bacterium. RNAcentral describes it as "partial 16S ribosomal RNA". It matches the Rfam family "Bacterial small subunit ribosomal RNA", at positions 28 to 507 of the family's 1533-position model. The record is from RNAcentral.
GACGAACGCUGGCGGCGUGCCUAAUACAUGCAAGUUGAGCGCUGAAGGUUGGUACUUGUACCGACUGGAUGAGCAGCGAACGGGUGAGUAACGCGUGGGGAAUCCGCCUUUGAGCGGGGGACAACAUUUGGAAACGAAUGCUAAUACCGCAUAAAAACUUUAAACACAAGUUUUAAGUUUGAAAGAUGCAAUUGCAUCACUCAAAGAUGAUCCCGCGUUGUAUUAGCUAGUUGGUGAGGUAAAGGCUCACCAAGGCGAUGAUACAUAGCCGACCUGAGAGGGUGAUCGGCCACAUUGGGACUGAGACACGGCCCAAACUCCUACGGGAGGCAGCAGUAGGGAAUCUUCGGCAAUGGACGAAAGUCUGACCGAGCAACGCCGCGUGAGUGAAGAAGGUUUUCGGAUCGUAAAACUCUGUUGGUAGAGAAGAACGUUGGUGAGAGUGGAAAGCUCAUCAAGUGACGGUAACUACCCAGAAAGGGACGGCUAACUACGUG